This 478-nucleotide long non-coding RNA is filed under the name Trifolium pratense (red clover). RNAcentral's name for it is "long non-coding RNA (TPRA_LNC001356)". Lineage: Eukaryota; Viridiplantae; Streptophyta; Magnoliopsida; Fabales; Fabaceae. The record is from RNAcentral.
UGAAAUGGUGCGUCCUUCUACCAAUUUGAUUGGUCUAUGUUCAGAUGCAAAGCCCAUCAGUUGCUUUUUGCAUGUUUAUAGCACUGUCUAUUUAGUGAUGUCAUAUGAUCCUCCCUCUGUGGAAUAUUAGAUUAGAUGCUACUCAUAAUUUUCUCAUCAAGAUGUACAUUUGCUAGUUUGAGGGGAUGCUGUUUGUUUUUCCAUUUGCCAUGAACAUGUACUUGACUAUCUUGCUGUCACCUCAGAUGACAAUAUUGUAUCACAUGGGUAUGUACUUAUGUCAUCUUAAUAAGUAUUUAUUUGUAUGUUAAUCAUCACAGUUUCAUUAUUAUGGAACUGAUUUCACAUCUUUGGUAACUAAAGUUCUACAAAUGAAAAGCUUGAGGGGAUUUAAUUUAGGUGUUUCCGCAUUUUUGUUGCUGUACUUGCUUUGUUGCUUAUAUAGUGCUUUAGGUAAACGGUAUGAUUUGGCUACUAA